This 135-nucleotide transfer RNA is filed under the name Bryobacterales bacterium. Its description in RNAcentral is "tRNA-Cys". Lineage: Bacteria; Pseudomonadati; Acidobacteriota; Terriglobia; Bryobacterales. The record is from RNAcentral.
GGGGAGAUGCACGGCAACUGGACGCCGAUGUAAGCCCUACAAAGGAAACGCCGGGCAAUCGGGUGAUAUAGUAUCAGGUGGAUUGAGGUGCUAGCGGGUAACACCGUGGGGGUUCAAGUCCCCCUCUCCGCACCA